CUACGGGAGGCUCCAGUGGGGAAUAUUGGACAAUGGGGGAAACCCUGAUCCAGCAAUGCCGCGUGUGUGAAGAAGGCCUGCGGGUUGUAAAGCACUUUCAGUAGGGAGGAGCGCAUAAUCAUUAAUACUGGUUAUGUUGGACGUUACCUAUAGAAGAAGCACCGGCUAACUCUGUGCCAGCAGCCGCGGUAAUACAGAGGGUGCAAGCGUUAAUCGGAAUUACUGGGCGUAAAGAGCGCGUAGGUUGAUAAGUGUGUUGGAUGUGAAAUCUCCAGGCUUAACCUGGAGUGGUCAUUCAAAACUGCUUAUCUAGAGUGCAGUAGAGGGAAGUGGAAUUUCCGGUGUAGCGGUGAAAUGCGUAGAUAUCGGAAGGAACAUCAGUGGCGAAGGCGGCUUCCUGGACUGCUACUGACACUGAGGCGCGAAAGCGUGGGGAGCAAACAGGAUUAGAUACCCCCGUAGUC
RNAcentral lists this ribosomal RNA (464 nucleotides) under uncultured bacterium. RNAcentral describes it as "partial 16S ribosomal RNA". It matches the Rfam family "Bacterial small subunit ribosomal RNA", at positions 339 to 795 of the family's 1533-position model. The record is from RNAcentral.